CGUGGGUGAUGAAGGUCUUCGGAUUGUAAAACCCUGUCGUCGGGGACGAAGGUAGGCUUGUUAAUAGCGAGUUUGCUUGACGGUACCCGGAGAGGAAGCCCCGGCUAACUCUGUGCCAGCAGCCGCGGUAAUACAGAGGGGGCAAGCGUUAUUCGGAAUUAUUGGGCGUAAAGGGCGCGUAGGCGGUGAUUCAAGUUGGAUGUGUAAUCCCCGAGCUCAACUUGGGAACUGCAUCCAAGACUGGAUCGCUAGAGUACUGGAGAGGGUGGUGGAAUUCCUCGUGUAGCGGUGAAAUGCGUAGAGAUGAGGAGGAACACCAGUGGCGAAGGCGGCCACCUGGACAGUAACUGACGCUGAGGCGCGAAAGUGUGGGGAGCAAACAGGAUUAGAUACCCUGGUAGUCCACACUGUAAACGAUGAACACUUGGUGUGGAGGGAGUUGACCCCUUCCGUGCCGUAGCUAACGCGAUAAGUGUUCCGCCUGGGGAGUACCNGUCGCAAGGCUU
RNAcentral lists this ribosomal RNA (506 nucleotides) under uncultured bacterium. RNAcentral's name for it is "bacterial SSU rRNA". It matches the Rfam family "Bacterial small subunit ribosomal RNA", at positions 400 to 896 of the family's 1533-position model. The record is from RNAcentral.